AAAUAAAAUACAAAAAAAGGAAGAUAAAAAGAAAUAAGAAAUAAAAAAUGGAAGAACCUUCCCCAAUAAAUUUCCCCCAGAUCAUAAUACCUUCCCCAAAAUAAAACUCCCCCACAUGAUACCUUACUCAUACACUUUAUAUAACUAUUUCUACUCAAUACAAAAAAGGAAGAAAGACACAUAAAAAGAAAUUAUAAAAAAACUGGCGGACGAAAUUGAAAAAAGAAGAAAAUACACAAAAAGAAAGAGACCAAAAAAUACACAAAAAAAAUAGACCCCACCCCUGAUCUUCAAAAGAGAAGAAAACAAAAAAGUUCUCAAUUCCCAUUUUCAAAGGAGAGGAACGAACCAAGAGCUCCUUUUCUUCUAGAUUUCGUCAUCUUUUUCACUCCCUGAUUUCACUUUCUUCAGCCACGAGACCAGAUGAAAUCUUCGUGAAUCAGCCUGGAUGACAUGUUGAGAUGUGUCACAUCGGAGGUAUUUGAGGUCCUUGGUCUCCUUAUAUGACUUGGGCAAUCCUCACAUCAUAAGCUAUCUUUUGGGGUUGAGUUAGGCCCAAGGUCCAUUCUUUUCAUGGUAUCAGAACCAUGCCCAUCUCAAUUAUUGUUACCAAUAUUGGGCCCCCAUUUAUGUUGUCCACGCUCCAGAGAUCUGGGCAUGAGUGGCGUGUUGAGUUAUCCCACAUCGGAGGGAUUUGAGGUCCUUGGUCUCCUUAUAUGAUUUAGGCAAUACUCACCUCAUAAGCUAGCUUUUGAGGUUGAGUUAGGCCCAAUGUCCAUUCUUUUCAUGGCAUCGUCCAAAACAUAAUAAAUCAGAGGUGCCGAUUCGAGGUCUGUUCCAGAAUUUUGUCGCGGUUUCCAGCGAGUUUGGUGUCUGGUUCGUAGUUUUGUUUGAAGUUUCCGAUGAGAUUUUGGUUCUAUGGUUCAAGGACAUCAUCUGAGAUGAAAUUUGAAGUAGUUCAUGAUUGGAGUUCCUUGUUAUUGCUGAAAUUCGAAUUCGAAUUGUAACGGCUUGCAAAUUGAACUAAUCGAAGAAAUAUUGCUCAGGUCAAUUCUCUUUCCUUUAUAUCUCUGUUUCAAUGUUCAAAUUCGAUUGCAUCUGGAAAUUAUUUGCUGUUGUUGUUGCGUUUUGUGUCCGAAUGGGUGUGUUGAAGUUUUCCGGCGGAUUUGUUUGAAAACUGCUUCAUCGGCAUUAAAAAUGUGAAAUUAGUUCGAAUAGUCAAGCUAACUUUUUAAACCUCCUGCAACGUUGUUUUUUAUGUGAGAAUUGGGAUUUCGAAUAGAUUGUUUGUUGGGCUCGGACUGUUUUUGGCUUCAUUAGUUUAAUUAGUGAAAUUUUAAAGUAAAGCUUCUGAUUAACUUAUGGAACAUUGGUUGUUUUGCU
RNAcentral lists this long non-coding RNA (1383 nucleotides) under Nicotiana benthamiana. Its description in RNAcentral is "long non-coding RNA (NBEN_LNC034596)". The record is from RNAcentral. Lineage: Eukaryota; Viridiplantae; Streptophyta; Magnoliopsida; Solanales; Solanaceae.